GUGGAAAAGAGUGGAAAAAUAACCUUGAUGACAAAUUGAAGGAUGUCAAUAUAGGCUGUGCGUCUGGAAUAAAAAAAAUUGGUGCAGUUGCCGGAAGCGUGGCGCGCGGACUCAUUCCAGAUUGCAAAGUAGGAG
Long non-coding RNA from Adelges cooleyi (spruce gall adelgid), 135 nucleotides. RefSeq lists it as uncharacterized. The record is from RefSeq and is a predicted model, not a curated record. NCBI's taxonomy places the organism in Eukaryota, Metazoa, Arthropoda, Insecta, Hemiptera, Adelgidae. The transcript is spliced from 4 exons.